UACGUAGGGUCCAAGCGUUAUCCGGAAUCACUGGGCGUAAAGCGUGCGUAGGUGGCGUGUUAAGUGUGAUGUUAAAUCGCGGGGCUCAACCCUGUCGGUGCAUCGCAUACUGGCAUGCUAGAGGGAAGCAGAGGCAAGUGGAAUUUGUAGUGUAGCAGUGAAAUGCGUAGAUAUUACAAGGAACACCAAUGGCGAAGGCGGCUGCCUGGGCCUGGCCUGACGCUGAGGCGCGAAAGCGUGGGGAGCGAUCCGG
RNAcentral lists this ribosomal RNA (253 nucleotides) under uncultured bacterium. RNAcentral's name for it is "partial 16S ribosomal RNA". It matches the Rfam family "Bacterial small subunit ribosomal RNA", at positions 524 to 776 of the family's 1533-position model. The record is from RNAcentral.